CGGAUUGAUUGUCGUUGAAACGUGUGACUGCAUGACUGUGAAAAAAAAAAGGAGAGAAAGAGAGAGAAAAAAGGAGAGAAUAGUCCAGGCGUGCUUUAUCUUUCACGCGUGCUUUGCUAUCCGCAAUUUAUGCGGACACGCAUUCCGCCUAUUUUCAUAGCACACGUUUAUUACUCACCAAGAAGAAAAAAAGAUGAAUGAAUAAUCAAGUAUCAAAAGAAUUACAAUGUAAAUACAGACCGAUUAUAUUCGCCUACAGUCAUAAAACACGUUCUUUAUUACGUCUCUAUUGUCGCCUGGCAGCUUGUAAAGGUUAAACGCGAAAUCAUUGUGACAGAACUAUACUGCAACCUAUUCGUGACACCAAUCCCAGUUCCCCAAACCUCUCUCCGAUAUGUCAAUAUUCAUCUUCCCCCUCCUUUUCCUCCCCCCCCUCCCUUCAACGAAUAUUCUAUUUCAAUUAAAGUUCAAACCGAAGUAUCAAAGUAUCCCCAUAGAGAAAUUUUAAUGUAUACAAAAAAUUUAUAAUAA
Apis dorsata (giant honeybee) is the source of this 531-nucleotide long non-coding RNA. RefSeq lists it as uncharacterized. The transcript is spliced from 2 exons. Lineage: Eukaryota; Metazoa; Arthropoda; Insecta; Hymenoptera; Apidae. The record is from RefSeq and is a predicted model, not a curated record.